AAAAAGAAUGUCAUUGUAUUGAAACAGAUGGCUCUAUCCCAAAUUCAAUUAUUAUUUCAAAAUGCAGACAAUGAGGAGCUCAGUUCCCAAAGUAAAAACUCUCUGAUACAUCAAACUGUGCAAGAACUUGAGCUAUUCAGCUGACUAGUAUUUAAUACCAUUUAUAACAAAAUAAAAAGUUUUAUUAACCUUGAACAUUAUGCAAGCAAGAGUAUGGUAGAAGAAUUUUUGCACUGGUAAAAAGAUGACUUUUGAAAAUAUCUGAUACUGAUCUAUACUACAGAUUCUGCUUACUUAAGCCAUAACUGAAAAGAAGAGCUGCUCUAAGUGGAUGGAUGGACUAGUCAAAGAUGUAAGAAGAUAACCAAUCAGUUUACUCAUUAUACUUGAUUGGUUUUCCUGUCACUGCAUACACAAGUUCCAACAGAUCAUUACCCAUUACUGCUUUCCCACAUGGGGGUGAUAAAGAAGAUACACGUCAUUCAAAGGCUAUCAAAAGAGACUACAGAGGCUUGGAAUGAAUUGAG
RNAcentral lists this long non-coding RNA (527 nucleotides) under Gallus gallus (chicken). The record is from RNAcentral. Lineage: Eukaryota; Metazoa; Chordata; Aves; Galliformes; Phasianidae.